ACGUUCCGGCGCUGUAGGAUGUGGCUGCGGCCGAUUAGGUAGAUGGUGGGGUAACGGCCCACCAUGCCGAUAAUCGGUACAGGUUGUGGAGCAAGAGCCUGGAGACGGUAUCUGAGACAAGAUACCGGGCCCUACGGGGCGCAGCAGGCGCGAAACCUUUACACUGCACGACAGUGCGAUAGGGGGACUCCGAGUGUGAGGGCAUAUAGCCCUCGCUUUUCUGAACCGUAAGGUGGUACAGGAACAAGGACUGGGCAAGACCGGUGCCAGCCGCCGCGGUAAUACCGGCAGUCCGAGUGAUGGCCGAUAUUAUUGGGCCUAA
RNAcentral lists this ribosomal RNA (322 nucleotides) under halophilic archaeon. RNAcentral describes it as "bacterial SSU rRNA". It matches the Rfam family "Archaeal small subunit ribosomal RNA", at positions 191 to 513 of the family's 1478-position model. The record is from RNAcentral. Lineage: Archaea; Methanobacteriati; Methanobacteriota; Halobacteria; Halobacteriales.